Molecule: non-coding RNA, 30 nt
Filed under: Rattus norvegicus (Norway rat)
Lineage: Eukaryota; Metazoa; Chordata; Mammalia; Rodentia; Muridae
Source: RNAcentral
UGUCUAACGUGGGCCAACCACCCUAUAAGC